UGGGGAAUAUUGGACAAUGGGGGAAACCCUGAUCCAGCAACGCCGCGUGGGUGAUGAAGGUCUUCGGAUUGUAAAGCCCUUUUGGCAGGGACGAUGAUGACGGUACCUGCAGAAUAAGCUCCGGCUAACUUCGUGCCAGCAGCCGCGGUAAUACGAAGGGAGCAAGCGUUGUUCGGAAUUACUGGGCGUAAAGAGCGCGUAGGCGGUUUGAUAAGUUGGGCGUGAAAUCCCCGGGCUUAACCCGGGAACUGCGUUCAAAACUAUUAGACUAGAGUGUGGAAGAGGUUGGUGGAAUUCCCAGUGUAGAGGUGAAAUUCGUAGAUAUUGGGAAGAACACCGGUGGCGAAGGCGGCCAACUGGUCCAUAACUGACGCUGAGGCGCGAAAGCGUGGGGAGCAAACAGG
Molecule: ribosomal RNA, 404 nt
Filed under: uncultured bacterium
Lineage: Bacteria
Description: bacterial SSU rRNA
Rfam family: Bacterial small subunit ribosomal RNA
Source: RNAcentral